CGGGGUUUUUAUAUAACAAUAACAAUUAGUUAUAGAUUUAUAUCUCGGACUCUGACUCCGUCGGUCCUGGUUCGAAUCCAGGUUCCCCAGCCA
RNAcentral lists this transfer RNA (93 nucleotides) under Rhodobium orientis. RNAcentral's name for it is "tRNA-Ser". Lineage: Bacteria; Pseudomonadati; Pseudomonadota; Alphaproteobacteria; Hyphomicrobiales; Rhodobiaceae. The record is from RNAcentral.